GGUGGCUCAGUGGUAGAGUGCUUGCCUUGCAUGCAGAAGGCCCUGGGUUCAAUUCCUCAGCACCA
RNAcentral lists this transfer RNA (65 nucleotides) under Dipodomys ordii (Ord's kangaroo rat). It matches the Rfam family "tRNA". Rfam says of the family: Transfer RNA (tRNA) molecules are approximately 80 nucleotides in length. The record is from Rfam by way of RNAcentral. Lineage: Eukaryota; Metazoa; Chordata; Mammalia; Rodentia; Heteromyidae.